This 240-nucleotide unclassified non-coding RNA is filed under the name soil metagenome. Its description in RNAcentral is "partial contains 5.8S ribosomal RNA, internal transcribed spacer 2, and large subunit ribosomal RNA". The record is from RNAcentral.
AACCAUAGAAACCUGCGGAGUACCUGCGGAGGGAUCAUUAUAGUAUAUGGAAUCUCCAUUCUAUAAACCCACUCUGCGUAUCUUGUAACUGUUGCUUCCAUGGGACUUGGUUCCGCCACACCGGCUCCACGGCUGGUGAGCGCCCAUGGAAGGAGAAACAAAACUCUUCUUUGAAAUGUAGUCAGUCUGAACAAGUUUUUAUAAACGUUAAAACUUUUAACAAUGGAUCUCAGAUCGGAA